RNAcentral lists this microRNA precursor (89 nucleotides) under Canis lupus familiaris (dog). RNAcentral describes it as "mir-8799 microRNA precursor family". It matches the Rfam family "mir-8799 microRNA precursor family". RNAcentral also lists the same sequence under 1 other name. The record is from Rfam by way of RNAcentral. Lineage: Eukaryota; Metazoa; Chordata; Mammalia; Carnivora; Canidae.
CGGGGGAGGCCGGAUCCUGGGCUGUGUCCCGGCGCCCUGUGCUCCGGGGCCUGUGCUGGUGGAUUCGCGCUCCCGCCCCGCAGCCCCCU